RNAcentral lists this long non-coding RNA (3239 nucleotides) under Nicotiana benthamiana. RNAcentral describes it as "long non-coding RNA (NBEN_LNC006617)". The record is from RNAcentral. Lineage: Eukaryota; Viridiplantae; Streptophyta; Magnoliopsida; Solanales; Solanaceae.
CCGUCAUAUAUCAAUUUUUGCUUCGUUUGUCAUUCAUCAAAACCUACAAAAGAGUACACGUUUAGUAUAUUGCAUUGAGAACGUGUUUCUAACACUAUAGGCAUGGCAUCUAGAAUUAAUUUGUUAUUAUUAAGCCUAAGAUUGUUUGCCUAAUGACGUGUAUAUGCAGAAGUGCAGAAAAGCCCUAAGAUCAUGAUUCCUCUAUGCAGAACCUAUAGGCAUAAUCUCUAAGAUGCAGAAAUGUAGAACUUAUAAGUAUGAAUUCUAAAAUGCAGAAAUAUAGAAAUCAACUAUAGGCAAAUUUUAUAAAUGCAGGAAUGCAGAAGUGCAUAAAGGCUUAUAGACAUGUCUUCUAAGAUGUAGAAAUGCAGAAUUAUAAAGGUCCUAUAGGCAGGUUUUUUGAGUGCAAAAUGCAGAAUUAUGAAAAACCUUAUAGGCAUAUUUUCUAAGUGCAGAAAAAUGCAGAAUUGUUAAAGACAUUAUAGGCAUGUUUUCUACUCCUUUGCAUGCAUUCAUUCCCCAUGCCUUUCAACUAUCCACCCCAAUAGUUAUUACGAAAAAUUAUUAUAGACCGAGUGAAUCAAAAAGAAAGAAAAGUAAAAAAAACAUCAGAAGCUCCAUCUACAUCCAAACAACUUAAUUCGGACUCAAAGUCCAACAAUAUGAGAUAAACCAACUUCCAGAAUCAGAUGUCCAAAAGACCUUCUCAUAUGUGGAGUGUGUCAAAUUUCCCAAGAGUCUCAAAGGGACUCCGAGCAUUGCUUACACCCCAAAACAUUUAAUAAUCAAGAACAUAGUACAGUGUGGAAAAGCCAACUCUCAGAUGUCCAAACUCAGAGGGAACUCAAGGUCCCAAAGCAAGGCUUAAAAGAGACGUGUAGAACUUAAGGUUCUAGGAAUAGGUGUGAGUGCACAAAGGGGAAGGGAAUCAGGGAGAGACAAGGAAAGCUAGUGGUCAUGCCCAGCAAUUGGGAUGCUGGCACACCCCUGACCAGCCUGAUAGUCAAGCAUUGAGAGUUAGGAUCCAUUGUGGAUCAGGUCAUGGCCUGGGCAGUAAUUUAGAACUAUCAGGCCAAGACUUUAACUCAAACAUAUAGAAGGGAAUAGGGGUAGGGAUUCAUAGUGGAAACAGAUACGAGGAAAUUAGCAUAGAUCAUUGAACAUGAGCAGUAAAGCAAACAAGGGUGCCAGAACUGUAAAGUAAACACAUAGGGAGGAGGCAGAAAACUAAAUAAAAGACAUACCAGUUUCAAGGAAAAACAAGUAAAAUAGUAGUCUUGAAAAAUAAAAUUUGUAAGCAAAUAGUUACUAAAGAUCUCAGAAAAGCAGAGCGUUGAGAGAGUAUUAAACUCAAAGCAGUAAUGUGAGUCUUUGAGUUGGAAGUAAGAAGAUUGAGGUAUUGAACAUGAAGUGUAGGUGAAAGUAUUGAAUUAAAAGUGUUUUUGUUCGUGUCAAUCUCAGUCUUUGUAAAGAGGGAAGACAUGUCUUAUAUAGUUUUGAAAACAAGCAGUACAUAGGCAAAGAGUGCACAAACAUGGAAAUAGCAAUCAAUUAGUGUCAAUUAAGGUAACUGGACUCCUUUAAUUAAGGAGUCUAGUUCAAACGGUUAGUCAAGGCAGAAUAAGGAAAAGAAAUCAGUUCAGUAAGGCUGAUUAGGUCAAAUAAACAACAUAGUGCGUAAACAAAGCCAAAUACAUAGUGGAUAAUUAAGGAAAAUUGAAGUAACAGUGUAUUUAUAAAGUAAAAAAUAGGGCAUCAGUUCGAAAAUCAACCAAUAGGAUCCUAGAUCCAAUUGUAAUCACAGGGAAUCAAAGUAGUUAAGGAAAGAGUCACAUAAAUAUAGAAAUAACCCAAGAACGUGCACAGAAUUACAGAAGGACUACACAAGAUCAUGUAUUUAAGGAAAACAUCACAAGCGUUGGAUUUUUGCACAAAAGGGUCAAGUAAACAACCAGUAGAGUAAAGGAGGAUCAAUCAAAGAAAAAGUCAGUGACAUAUCAUUAGUCUUAUUAAAGGGAUUUCAAAAUCAAUCACUUGGUUGGUGAAAAACGUUUUUUUUUUUGAAAUAGGAAUAUUCUCAUAUAUAUAAAGCACACAGAUCAAACAAAAAGUGUCGUUUACUAUAAAAAAUAGAGCUUAACACUGAAAGCCUCAAAGUAACAAGAAAAAUGGAUUCAAGUUCAAUUAUAGACUCAUAGUGAGUCUGAAAGCCUAAGGUCCCAAAAUGGAAACCUAGGACCACCUGUCAAAUAACCCCCAAAACCUAGGGUUUCAAAUAGAGUCAAACAAACAGGUGAGAAACAGGUCACAGAAAGAGGCUCAGAAGUCUCUUUCAAAGACUGAUGAGAGACAAACACACACGAUGGCAAGAAUACUGAUUCAAAGUCAUGCUUUAGAAAACUUGGGAGUUAAACAAGUUUUUAAAGAAAGAGAUGAUACGAAUUUUACACAAAAGUAGACAAAAACACGCUUAGCAGGAACACAAAUAGAUUUUAGUAAAGCGAACAAAAAUCACAGAGGCCAACCACAACACAUAUAGCAAAGAGUAGGAAAAACAACACAAAUUAACACGUGAGCAUGAGAGUAACAACAACGAGUAGAAAAGUCUUGCAUAAUAGGAAAGAAACAAGAGAGCAAGCUCAAGUAUUGUAGAAAAGAAAGCAUACGAGCCUAACAUAGGUACGAACAUAUGAAGAGAGAAUGGAAAGAAUCAAGAAAGAAACAAAUAUUUGAAGAAAUUUUCCAAAAACCCUAAAAAUCGGAAUUGAAUGAUUUUAAAAAGAAAUUUGGAGAAAACCUAUAAAACAUCAAGUAAAGACCAUGCAUGUCACAUAUCUAAAAGAAAUAGGCAAGUACAGAACCUUAGACAACUUAGAGUUGCAGAGAAAACCCUAGAAUGAGAAAGGUCUUGAAGAAAGUCGGAUCUCGAGUCGAAAAGAAUCAUAUUGCUUGAACAUGCCUGAAAAUGGCCGGAGAAGCCAUAGAUCUACAGAUCUGAGAAACAUCUGAAGAGAACCAUCAGAGUUGGGUUUCGAAUCAUUGAACACCUUGGGUUUGAUGGUGAGAGAGGGCGAGCAUAAGUCAUUCAUAGCCUGGAACGGCAUGGAUUUCGGCGGAAUCGUGAUAAAAUGAAGUAUGGGACUCCUACAGUUUUGGAGAGCUUGGGAGUGUUUUUAAAAACAAAGGGCUUCAAGGUGGUGGGUCAGGUGAGAAUGAGGGAGAUUAGGGUAGUCGUUCAG